This is a transfer RNA of Ovis aries (sheep), 72 nucleotides long. It matches the Rfam family "tRNA". From Rfam's summary of the family: Transfer RNA (tRNA) molecules are approximately 80 nucleotides in length. NCBI's taxonomy places the organism in Eukaryota, Metazoa, Chordata, Mammalia, Artiodactyla, Bovidae. The record is from Rfam.
UCCCUGGUGGCUCAGAUGGUAAAGAAUCUGCCUGUAAUGCAGGAGAUCUGGGUUCAAUCCCUGGGUUGGGAA